AUCUGGGCGGCGGAAUUCAGGAUGGCUGGCGUGCUCUUGCGGUGCGUCGGUCGUUUGAUAUUUCCGUCGCCAACCUACCGCAGACGUCGCGACCUGUUCGCGGUCGGUCCUUGCUCGGAGGAGCCGCGUUCGAGCUCGUUGUGUGCGCGUUUCGGCGUGUCACACGGCGAAGGCGCGGAUCUCUGGCUGGCCGUCGGACAGUAUGCUUAACGGUGUCCGGUGUCGUCGUCUCGUACGCGCGGCAUCGGUACCGGUCAGCGACGAAUUCUUCGGGCCUCUUUCCGACCCGUCUUGAAACACGGACCAAGGAGUCUAACAUGCGCGCGAGUCGCGGGGUAUCGAGCGUACUUCGGUGCGUUCGUUAUGUUGCGAAACCCGUACAUGUCGAAGGCGUAAUGAAAGUGAAUGGGGAAGAUGGUGUUCCGAGUUCACGUUCCGCGAUCAUCGGUAUCGCGGCCGGACGCCCGCAUUCCCGGGGCGUCUCAACGGCCCGUCGCUGAUGCGGACUGUCGUCUUUCGGGGCGGCUGUCGGUCGGCGACGAACCGA
This 547-nucleotide ribosomal RNA is filed under the name Hemiberlesia mendax. RNAcentral describes it as "eukaryotic LSU rRNA". The record is from RNAcentral. Lineage: Eukaryota; Metazoa; Arthropoda; Insecta; Hemiptera; Diaspididae.